RNAcentral lists this non-coding RNA (26 nucleotides) under Cricetulus griseus (Chinese hamster). Lineage: Eukaryota; Metazoa; Chordata; Mammalia; Rodentia; Cricetidae. The record is from RNAcentral.
AUACAUUGCUGACAGAACUAAGGAUU